This 253-nucleotide ribosomal RNA is filed under the name uncultured bacterium. RNAcentral's name for it is "partial 16S ribosomal RNA". It matches the Rfam family "Bacterial small subunit ribosomal RNA", at positions 524 to 776 of the family's 1533-position model. The record is from RNAcentral.
UACGUAGGGGGCAAGCGUUGUCCGGAUUUACUGGGCGUAAAGGGCUCGUAGGCGGCCAACUAAGUCCGACGUGAAAUCCCCAGGCUUAACCUGGGAACUGCGUCGGAUACUGGAUGGCUUGAAUCCGGGAGAGGGAUGCGGAAUUCCAGGUGUAGCGGUGAAAUGCGUAGAUAUCUGGAGGAACACCGGUGGCGAAGGCGGCGAGCUGGCCUGUUACUGACGCUGAGGCGCGACAGCGUGGGGAGCAAACAGG